This 71-nucleotide transfer RNA is filed under the name Candidatus Woesearchaeota archaeon. Its description in RNAcentral is "tRNA-His". It matches the Rfam family "tRNA". Rfam says of the family: Transfer RNA (tRNA) molecules are approximately 80 nucleotides in length. Their secondary structure includes four short double-helical elements and three loops (D, anti-codon, and T loops). Lineage: Archaea; Nanobdellati; Candidatus Woesearchaeota. The record is from RNAcentral.
GUGGCCAUAGUUCAGUGGUAGAAUACAGGACUGUGGAUCCUGUGAUGCGAGUUCGAUUCUCGCUGGCUACC